Long non-coding RNA from Syngnathus typhle (broad-nosed pipefish), 1532 nucleotides. RefSeq lists it as uncharacterized. Lineage: Eukaryota; Metazoa; Chordata; Actinopteri; Syngnathiformes; Syngnathidae. The transcript is spliced from 2 exons. The record is from RefSeq and is a predicted model, not a curated record.
UCUGAUCGGCGUAGCUGCGGUCCACGGCGUUCACCAUAUGUGUCAUUUCCUGCCGGGUGGUUCCGAUGGCAUCCUUACGCUUUUUGGCCAGCUUCCUGUCACAGGGGUAUAAAAAAAAGCGGAGUCAGCCAAGCUGUGGGCUGCAGGCGACUGAUUCAAGAUGCAGAGGAAAAAGAGGAGAGGAAGAAAACAAAGAAGAGGAAAAGAAACAGGCAAGGAUGGCCAAUGUGAAAAGAGCAAAUGGCAGCAUGUACCCGGGCUCAACCCAAGGAGCGAAAAUAACCCUUGACCUCGGUCGGGUUAGCCAAAGAACCUCCCAGAGGAAUGUGUGAAUUAAAUUAGUCCAUUUGAAAUAAGGCAGCAAGGUACGGCAUUUACUAAACACACCAUUGAUCAUACAGAGGUCAUAUCGACCUUCAGCACUUCAGGAUCGAUGCAUCGAAAUAUUUUUUUCCGCAGGCUGUUCUCGUAUAAUACGGUAAAGUAUUUGGGAAAAAGCACAGACAAAUCAAAGUAUUUCCAGGAGAAGUAAACAAGUUUGAUAUGUGAAUAAAAACUGAUGAGUAUUCCCAGGAGAGACUUUGAGCAUGACAAAGCAUGCAGGAAAGUCCUACACCCAGAGCCAUCGUAUAUGUAUCACUUCAGACAACUUCCAAUCCAUGAAUGCGAUUCGAAUUCCACGUCUUGAUACCGUGACGGUAGAAAUUUGGAUUCAAUUUGAAAUUUCCGUCAAAUAAGUUGCCAAACUGAUACGCUUAUACGGGCUCUGACCUCUUCCCAAUAGACAGGUGGGAAACAUGCUUUUUGAAUCUUUUUUUCCGUUACCUCGUUUGCUCUCAAAACACACCACCGCUAAGGCCACAGAAAAACAUGACGCACCCACAAAUCCAGACCCUUCAUUCUGACCAAGUUACGCAAAAAAUGUCGGAAGAAAUCAGGACAAGCCACAGAGAUAACGAUUUUUUUUUCCACAGCCAAACCCCCACAAGAACGAAACCAAAAAAAAAAGCCUCAAACAGAACGCAGUUGUUCACAUCCCCGUGUUCACGAUACCUGUGACUUGAUGGGUGGAUGGAUGGUCACAUGACUUACAUGCACACAGAGCUACAAGUCACAAGUGCAGCAUUCUUUUUUCAAAUAACACGCUCAGGCCCGUGUGGUCCCACUCUGGCCUGCUUUUGAAGACAGCUCGUCUGCCUCAGAGCGACUUUGGAACAUGUGGAGGACACCGAGGGCUGAGGGCAAUUCACAUUCAGUUCAGUCCUUUUGGAUUAUGUCUGUGUUGCUACCCGCCCCCCCUCAUUCACUCAGUGCUAUUAAAUAUGUAAAAAAAAAUACAAAUAAUGCAAAAAGCUGAUAUGACUGAGGCGGCAGUGAAUUGUCCCCCACCCUGGGCAGGGCGUCAAUGAGGAUGGCUUUGGCUGGUUGGUCAGAGCGAAAAUGUGUUGUGUCUUGAAAAAAGUAUACUGCAUCUUUAAAAAAAACAAAACCAAAAAAAAAAAAAACCCAACAUCUAGCCACUAGUUAGCCCA